This 20-nucleotide microRNA is filed under the name Callorhinchus milii (elephant shark). RNAcentral describes it as "eshark_NOVEL_208". Lineage: Eukaryota; Metazoa; Chordata; Chondrichthyes; Chimaeriformes; Callorhinchidae. The record is from RNAcentral.
AUGAAGUGCGAUGUGGAUAU